RNAcentral lists this long non-coding RNA (2931 nucleotides) under Mytilus galloprovincialis (Mediterranean mussel). The record is from RNAcentral. Lineage: Eukaryota; Metazoa; Mollusca; Bivalvia; Mytilida; Mytilidae.
CAGUUUUCAAGUUUGUCCAAAUCGUGGUCCAAAAUGAGACUUUGUUUGAUUUCAACAAAAAUUGAAUCCUUGGGGGUUCUUUGAUAUGCUGAAUCUAAACAUGUAUUAAGAUUUUUGCUUAUGGGGCCAGUUUUCAAGUUGGUUCAAAAUUUAACUUUGUUUGAUAUCAACAAAAAUUAAAUUCUUGGGGUUCUUUGAUAUGCUGAAUCUAAAAAUGUAUUAAGAUUUUUUAUUAUAGGCCCAGUUUUCAAGUUGGUCCAAAUCAGGGUCCAAAAUUAAACUAUGUUUGAUUUCAACAAAAAUGGAAUCCUUGGGGUUCUUUGAUAUAUGACGAUUCUAACCAUGUAUUUAGAUUUUUGAUAUUUGGGCCCAGUUACCAAAUUGGUACAUAUUGAGGUCUAAAGGUUCCAAAAUGAAAACUUUAUUUGAUUUCAUCAAAAAAUGAAUUCUUGGGGUUCUUUGAUAUGCUGAAUCUAACCAUGUAUCUAGAUUUUGGAUAUUGGACCAUAAAAGGUAAAUGUCCAAUUUAAAAUUUUUAAGUUUUUAAGUUUAAGUUCUUAUACCCCAUUCAUUCUGUGUCAGAAACCUAUGUUUUGUCAACUAUUUAAUAACAAUCCAAAUUCAGAGCUGUAUCAAGCUUGAAUGUUGUGUCCAUACUUGCCCCAACUGUUCAGGGUUCAAACUCUGCGGUCGUAUAAAGCUGUGACCUGCCGAGCAUCUGGUUAUAAUGUAUGUGUAUUAUGUAUGAAGUUUUACAUUGAAUAUAUAUAUAUAUAUCCUUUAUAUCACUCUGUUCACAUUUUGAUAUGAUUAUGUCAUAAUUUAUAUUUUGUCCUUUUGGCAGCACACAUUCCUGUUGCUGAAAAAUUCACACAGCUAGGUAUUUUCAACAGCAACAAAUGUGGCUUUAGGCAAGACAUAUAUUUGUUAAUCUGGUAACUGUGUUAACUAUUUGUAUACAAUUUUAUAGUAAAAAAGGAGAACACUUUAUGUCUGGUUUGUAGAUGUCUUUGUUCUGUUUCCGUGUGGCAUAUACUGUGGAUUAAUUAUUAUUUGUUGGAUACUGAUUAUUGUGGAUUUCGGGGAUAAAGGUGAACCACAAAAUUAAAUGUUCAAGGAAUGACUUGUUUCUAAAGGCCUGUUUGUAGACUUUGUAAAAACCAAGAAAUUAAAUAUCCACUAACAUAUAAGUUUUCCUGAAAAUAGAUGGAUCCACCGUACCGGUAUAUCGGUUUCAUAAAUCUUGUAAAUGAAAGGGGAAAUGAAUCUGAUAGAAAACAAAGAAUAUAGAAUAUCUAUCCAUGACACAAAAUUAGUUCAUCUAACCAGGAUUAACUGACUUUGACCUUAUUUUCAUGGUUGAAUGGUCAACAUCUAGUUGUGGUUUAUGUCAAUCAAUAAAAACAUCAACUUAUAACAAAAAGGUCUCCUGAGUUGGUCUUUAGAAUAAGUGAUGAUGCAAAUUGAUCCUGACAUGAGUAGGAACAAGGUUUUGAAUUCCGAAUAUAGCGCUGCUUAAUAGGAAUUCAAAUAAAGAAUGAAGUGCAAAAAAAGUUAUUUUGACCCCUAUACUACCUCUGAUUAAUUUUUUAUGAAAAAAUAUUGCAAAGUUUUGUUUCCUCUUAAUUUUGAGAAACAAGAUUCCAUCUUUAAAGAAUGGCUCUUCCCUGGAUAGUAUUCAAAGUAUAUAGGGAGAAUUCUGUCAGUUACUUGUUGUUUAUUAUACUUUGUCAAAACAUUUUUAUUUUAGAUAUGAGUCCUAUUAACUUGUUUCAUUUUGCAUGUACUUAUACAGUUGUAUAUACAUCAAUAAGAAACUACUCAGGGAACCAUCCAUUUGCUGCAGGUUUUUGCCACAGUAAAUAUAAAAGGUUGUGUUUCCAAAGUUUGCAAUAUAAUUUUUAAAUAAGGACAUUCUCCAUUAAUUUGUAAAAAUCUGAAAGUCAUGUUGAGUUUAAAAUGUACAUCAAAUCAAAAUCCCUUUUCCCAAAUCAAACUAACUUUGUUUAUUUUAUAGAAACUUAUGAUUUGAUACUUAUUUUAUAUUCAGUGUUAGCUCAUUUGGCUGGUGCGUUCGACUCCCUUUAUAAUUGACUAGGAUUUUCAUUUUCCAUAAGCUCAGUUGUUCCUUAUUGGCACUCCAGCUUCCUCAACCCAUAACAAAUGACUGUCAGGAAAUACACAAUAGUGCUGAAAGUGGAAAGUGAUUUUUUUUUAUCCUAAUCAGACAUGAAAUAAAUGUUGCAUCGAAGCAAAAAUUGUUUAUUCUUUUUAUUUAAACAAUAGUUUUCUAAACAAUAUGAUAGGAUACACGAUCUAAACUGUACUGAAAUCCCUAUUUAUUUAGGAUAACCUGCAUAUAUGUGAUUUUGAUAAGUGAUUGAUAUGGUGAUAUUUUGCCAAAAAUGGUUUUAAACCAACAUGAAAUAAAAUUGAUUUAAAAUUAUGUAUACAAAAGUAACAUUGAAUUUACACACCUCAGAUUUUUAUUUUAACUAGAUUGUGAUAUUUGAAUUCAUGUCUUCCAAAACUGUCAUAUUCCGUGAUCAUGACUUCGUUUGAUGUAUGAUAGUGACAAUGUUUUGGAUAUGAUUUAAAGUUGAUUAUGUCAAAAUUGAUUGUUUUGUUUUUUCAGCGGCAUCUAUAUUCACCAUCUGUUAAUCUUUUAUUAAAACCUUACACAUUUAAAACAAACAUUCCAUAAGUACAGCAUAUAACAAAUCAUAAAUGAAAUUAUUAAUAAUGGACAAAUAUGGUUUGCAAGAAAACAGAACCUAUUAAUGGUAUCUUAACAUUUUUUUUUAGUAAAAUUUAUAAAGAAAACUGUUUAAGGAAUGUCAGACAUUUUGUGCAUUCCACAAUUUUUGUAAUCUCUACUUUCUCAUUCUAGAUUAUUUUCUUGUAAUUUUUUUCUUUAUUAAUAAAUUGGAG